This 558-nucleotide ribosomal RNA is filed under the name uncultured bacterium. RNAcentral describes it as "partial 16S ribosomal RNA". It matches the Rfam family "Bacterial small subunit ribosomal RNA", at positions 355 to 902 of the family's 1533-position model. The record is from RNAcentral.
UGGGGAAUAUUGCACAAUGGGCGCAAGCCUGAUGCAGCCAUGCCGCGUGUGUGAAGAAGGCCUCGGUUGUAAAGCACUUUCAGCGAGGAGGAAGGUGGUGAACUUAAUACGUUCAUCAAUUGACGUUACUCGCAGAAGAAGCACCGGCUAACUCCGUGCCAGCAGCCGCGGUAAUACGGAGGGUGCAAGCGUUAAUCGGAAUUACUGGGCGUAAAGCGCACGCAGGCGGUUUGUUAAGUCAGAUGUGAAAUCCCCGGGCUCAACCUGGGAACUGCAUUUGAAACUGGCAAGCUAGAGUCUCGUAGAGGGGGGUAGAAUUCCAGGUGUAGCGGUGAAAUGCGUAGAGAUCUGGAGGAAUACCGGUGGCGAAGGCGGCCCCCUGGACGAAGACUGACGCUCAGGUGCGAAAAGCGUGGGGAGCAAAACAGGAUUAGAUACCCCUGGUAGUCCACGCUGUAAAACGAUGUCGAUUUUGGAGGUUGUGCCCUUGAGGCGUGGCUUCCGGAGCUAACGCGUUAAAUCGACCGCCUGGGGAGUACGGCCGCAAGGUUAAAACUC